GGGUUUGAUGCGGAUAAUGUUACAUAUCCUUUUGCUAGUCGUGGAGCAACUGAGAACGAUCUUGGAAUUGCUCGAAGAGAUAUGAUGAUGAUAGCUUUAAAAUUGUUUAUAACCGAUAUUAGAGACAAACAUAGGACCAACCCUAUAGAUUUUACACACACAUGUCGAAUCAUAGGAUUGUUCUGGAGUAUGAGAUUUCCAGAUGAAUACACAACAAAUGCUUAUGUUGUAGGCG
This is a long non-coding RNA of Adelges cooleyi (spruce gall adelgid), 235 nucleotides long. RefSeq lists it as uncharacterized. The record is from RefSeq and is a predicted model, not a curated record. NCBI's taxonomy places the organism in Eukaryota, Metazoa, Arthropoda, Insecta, Hemiptera, Adelgidae. The transcript is spliced from 3 exons.